GACGAACGCUGGCGGCAGGCUUAACACAUGCAAGUCGAACGCCCCGCAAGGGGCGUGGCAGACGGGUGAGUAACGCGUGGGAACGUGCCCUAAGGUACGGAACAACUCCGGGAAACUGGAGCUAAUACCGUAUGUGACCGAGAGGUGAAAGAUUUAUCGCCUUAGGAUCGGCCCGCGUCAGAUUAGCUAGUUGGUGGGGUAAUGGCCUACCAAGGCGACGAUCUGUAGCUGUUCUGAGAGGACGAUCAGCCACACUUGGACUGAGACACGGCCCAGACUCCUACGGGCGGCAGCAGUGGGGAAUCUUGGACAGUGGGCUCAAGCCGGAUCCAGCCAUGCCGCGUGAGUGAUGAAGGCCUUAGGGUUGUAAAACUCUUUCGCCGAGGACGAUAAUGACGGUACUCGGAGAAGAAGCUCCGGCUAACUUCGUGCCAGCAGCCGCCGUAA
This 447-nucleotide ribosomal RNA is filed under the name uncultured bacterium. RNAcentral's name for it is "partial 16S ribosomal RNA". It matches the Rfam family "Bacterial small subunit ribosomal RNA", at positions 28 to 523 of the family's 1533-position model. The record is from RNAcentral.